This 1551-nucleotide ribosomal RNA is filed under the name Saccolaimus flaviventris (Yellow-bellied pouched bat). RNAcentral's name for it is "partial 16S ribosomal RNA". It matches the Rfam family "Bacterial large subunit ribosomal RNA", at positions 424 to 2826 of the family's 2925-position model. Lineage: Eukaryota; Metazoa; Chordata; Mammalia; Chiroptera; Emballonuridae. The record is from RNAcentral.
ACUAGUACUAGCCCGAACCAAUAAAACUAAAUUAGCAAUCACCCAUAAAAUAAAACAUUUAUAGCAUAAAAGUAUAGGAGAUAGAAAUUAUGGCCCGGCGCUAUAGAGACAAAGUACCGUAAGGGAAUAAAAACACAAAGUAUUAAAUAGCAAAGAUUACACCUUUUACCUUUUGCAUAAUGAAUUAACUAGAAAAUCCUUGACAAAGAGUACUGAAGUCAAGAACCCCGAAACCAGACGAGCUAUACGAGAACAGCAAUACAGAGCAAACUCAUCUAUGUGGCAAAAUAGUGAGAAGAUUUUCGAAUAGAGGCGAUAAACCUACCGAGCCUGGUGAUAGCUGGUUGUCCAGUAAAUGAAUUUCAGUUCAACUUUAAACUUACCAAAUACAUAUUAUAAUUCCAAUGUAAGCUUAAAAGAUAAUCUAAAUGGGUACAGCCUUUUAGAUAUAGGCUACAACCUUAGUUAGAGAGUAAUCUAAAAAACCCACCAUAGUUGGCCUAAAAGCAGCCACCUAUAAAGAAAGCGUUCAAGCUCAACACACUAAUAACUUCAUCCCAACAAUACAUGUCAACUCCUAACAUGAACACUGGACCACUCUAUUAUUAAAUAGACGUAAUACUGUUAAUAUGAGUAACAAGAAUAAUUCUCCCCGCAUAAACUUAUAUCAGAACGGAUGGACCACUGAUAGUUAACAAAAAAAUAAAAUAACUCCAAAAACGAGACAUAUUAUAUAUUAACUUGUUAAUCCAACACAGGAAUGCACUCAGGGAAAGAUUAAAAGAAGUAAAAGGAACUCGGCAAACCCAGACCCCGCCUGUUUACCAAAAACAUCACCUCCAGCCUCACAAGUAUUGGAGGCACUGCCUGCCCAGUGACACAAGUUAAACGGCCGCGGUAUCCUGACCGUGCAAAGGUAGCAUAAUCACUUGUUCUCUAAAUAGGGACUUGUAUGAAUGGCCACACGAGAGUCUAACUGUCUCUUACUUCCAAUCAGUGAAAUUGACCUUCCAGUGAAGAGGCUGGAAUACUACAAUAAGACGAGAAGACCCUAUGGAGCUUUAAUUAACUAGCUUAAUAAGAAAAUACAUACACUCGCCAAAAGGGAUUAAACCACUCUUAGUAUAAGCCAGCAAUUUCGGUUGGGGUGACCUCGGAGCAUAGAAAAACCUCCGAGUGAUUAAUGUUUAGACAUACCUGUCAAAACAAUACAUCAUAAAUUGAUCCAAUUAUUUUGAUCAACGGAACAAGUUACCCUAGGGAUAACAGCGCAAUCCUAUUCAAGAGUCCGUAUCGACAAUAGGGUUUACGACCUCGAUGUUGGAUCAGGACAUCCAAGUGGUGCAGACGCUACUAAGGGUUCGUUUGUUCAACGAUUAAUAGUCCUACGUGAUCUGAGUUCAGACCGGAGUAAUCCAGGUCGGUUUCUAUCUAUUUCUAGUUCCUCCCAGUACGAAAGGAUAAGAGGGACAGGGCCUACAGUCCAACCGCGCCCUAUAAUAAACAGGUGAUAUAAUCUCAACCUGCCAAAACAAGACCUACCAACUCCUG